This 383-nucleotide RNase P RNA is filed under the name Sphingomonas pseudosanguinis. RNAcentral describes it as "RNase P RNA component class A". It matches the Rfam family "Bacterial RNase P class A". Rfam says of the family: Ribonuclease P (RNase P) is a ubiquitous endoribonuclease, found in archaea, bacteria and eukarya as well as chloroplasts and mitochondria. Its best characterised activity is the generation of mature 5'-ends of tRNAs by cleaving the 5'-leader elements of precursor-tRNAs. Cellular RNase Ps are ribonucleoproteins. Lineage: Bacteria; Pseudomonadati; Pseudomonadota; Alphaproteobacteria; Sphingomonadales; Sphingomonadaceae. The record is from RNAcentral.
UCAGAGGGCCGGGCGGCCGCGGCCUCGGGAAACCGGGGGCGAGGAAAGUCCGGGCUCCGCGGAACAACGGUGCCGGGUAACGCCCGGCGGGGGCGACCCCAGGGACAGUGCCACAGAGAGCAGACGGCCACGGCUUCGGCCAGGUCAGGGUGAAAGGGUGCGGUAAAAGCGCACCGCGGGUCCGGUAACGGAAACGGCAUGGCAAACCCCACCGGGAGCAAGACCGAAUAGGGAUGGCAUGGCGCCGCAAGGCGUCGGGGCGCGUUCCCGCCCGCUAUCCGGGUUGGUUGCUUGAGGCGAUGUGCAAGCAUCGUCCUAGAAGAAUGGUCGCCCAUCCGGCCUCGGCCGGUGGACAGAACCCGGCUUACAGGCCCUCUGGCUUU